GUCGUUAACGAACGAGACCUCGACCUGCUAAAUAGUUCGGCGAAGGUUUCCCUUCGCUUGCGACUUCUUAGAGGGACUAUCGGUGAUUUAGCCGAUGGAAGUUCGAGGCAAUAACAGGUCUGUGAUGCCCUUAGAUGCCCUGGGCCGCACGCGCGCUACACUGAUACGUUCAUCGAGCUUACAACCUUGGUUGAGAGGCCUGGGUAAUCUUUUUAAACCGUAUCGUGCUGGGGAUAGAUUAUUGUAAUUUUUUAAUCUUCAACGAGGAAUUCCUAGUAAACGCGAGUCAUCAACUCGCAUUGAUUACGUCCCUGCCCUUUGUACACACCGCCCGUCGCUAGUACCGAUUGAAUGGUUU
RNAcentral lists this ribosomal RNA (358 nucleotides) under Eukaryota sp. Its description in RNAcentral is "SSU rRNA". It matches the Rfam family "Eukaryotic small subunit ribosomal RNA", at positions 1324 to 1699 of the family's 1831-position model. The record is from RNAcentral.